UACAGAGGGGGCAAGCGUUGUUCGGAAUUACUGGGCGUAAAGGGCGCGUAGGCGGCCGCCUAAGUCAGAUGUGAAAUCCCUCGGCUCAACCGGGGAACUGCGUCUGAUACUGGGUGGCUUGAAUUCGGGAGAGGGAUGCGGAAUUCCAGGUGUAGCGGUGAAAUGCGUAGAUAUCUGGAGGAACACCGGUGGCGAAGGCGGCAUCCUGGACCGACAUUGACGCUGAGGCGCGAAAGCCAGGGGAGCAAACGGG
Molecule: ribosomal RNA, 253 nt
Filed under: uncultured bacterium
Lineage: Bacteria
Description: partial 16S ribosomal RNA
Rfam family: Bacterial small subunit ribosomal RNA
Source: RNAcentral